AUUGAACGCUGGCGGCAGGCCUAACACAUGCAAGUCGAGCGGAUGAAGGGAGCUUGCUCCUGGAUUCAGCGGCGGACGGGUGAGUAAUGCCUAGGAAUCUGCCUGGUAGUGGGGGAUAACGUCCGGAAACGGGCGCUAAUACCGCAUACGUCCUGAGGGAGAAAGUGGGGGAUCUUCGGACCUCACGCUAUCAGAUGAGCCUAGGUCGGAUUAGCUAGUUGGUGGGGUAAAGGCCUACCAAGGCGACGAUCCGUAACUGGUCUGAGAGGAUGAUCAGUCACACUGGAACUGAGACACGGUCCAGACUCCUACGGGAGGCAGCAGUGGGGAAUAUUGGACAAUGGGCGAAAGCCUGAUCCAGCCGUGCCGCGUGUGUGAAGAAGGUCUUCGGAUUGUAAAGCACUUUAAGUUGGGAGGAAGGGCAGUAAGUUAAUACCUUGCUGCUUUGACGUUACCAACAGAAUAAGCACCGGCUAACUUCGUG
Molecule: ribosomal RNA, 484 nt
Filed under: uncultured bacterium
Lineage: Bacteria
Description: partial 16S ribosomal RNA
Rfam family: Bacterial small subunit ribosomal RNA
Source: RNAcentral